RNAcentral lists this ribosomal RNA (406 nucleotides) under uncultured bacterium. RNAcentral's name for it is "partial 16S ribosomal RNA". It matches the Rfam family "Bacterial small subunit ribosomal RNA", at positions 30 to 526 of the family's 1533-position model. The record is from RNAcentral.
AUUGAACGCUGGCGGCAGGCCUAACACAUGCAAGUCGAGCGAGCGGCGGACGGGUGAGUAAUGUAUGGGGAUCUGCCUGAUGGAGGGGGAUAACUACUGGAAACGGUAGCUAAUACCGCAUACCAUCAGAUGAACCCAUCUGGGAUUAGCUUGUAGGUGAGGUAACGGCUAACCUAGGCGACGAUCCCUAGCCGGUCGGAGAGGAUGAUCAGCCACACUGGGACUGAGACACGGCCCAGACCCCUACGGGAGGCAGCAGUGGGGAAUAUUGCGCAAUGAGGGAAACCCUGACGCAGCCAGGCCGCGUGAAUGAGGAAGGCCUUCGGGUUGUAAAGUACUUUCGGUAGCGAGGCGUUAACUAAAGAAGAAGCACCGGCUAACUCCGUGCCAGCAGCCGCGGUAAUUC